RNAcentral lists this ribosomal RNA (254 nucleotides) under uncultured bacterium. Its description in RNAcentral is "partial 16S ribosomal RNA". It matches the Rfam family "Bacterial small subunit ribosomal RNA", at positions 524 to 776 of the family's 1533-position model. The record is from RNAcentral.
UACGUAGGUGGCAAGCGUUGUCCGGAAUUACUGGGCGUAAAGCGUGCGCAGGCGGUUUUGUAAGUCUGUCGUGAAAUCCCCGGGCUCAACCUGGGAAUGGCGAUGGAGACUGCAAGGCUAGAGUUUGGCAGAGGGGGGUAGAAUUCCACGUGUAGCAGUGGAAAUGCGUAGAUAUGCGGAGGAACACCGAUGGCGAAGGCAAUCCCCUGGACCUGUACUGACGCUCAUGCACGAAAGCGUGGGGAGCAAACAGG